CAUUAAAUCAGUUAUCGUUUAUUUGAUGGUACCUUACUACUUGGAUAACCGUGGUAAUUCUAGAGCUAAUACAUGCUGAAAACCCCGACUUCGGGAGGGGUGUAUUUAUUAGAUAAAAAACCAACGCCCUUCGGGGCUCCUUGGUGAUUCAUGAUAACUUCUCAGAUCGCAUGGCCUUGCGCCGGCGACGGUUCAUUCAAAUUUCUGCCCUAUCAACUUUCGAUGGUAAGGUAUUGGCUUACCAUGGUUUCAACGGGUAACGGGGAAUUAGGGUUCGAUUCCGGAGAGUGAGCCUGAAAGACAGCUCACACAUCCAAGGAAGGCAGCAGGCGCGCAAAUUACCCAAUCCCGACACGGGGAGGUAGUGACAAUAAAUACUGAUACAGGGCUCUUUUGGGUCUUGUAAUUGGAAUGAGUACAAUUUAAACCUCUUAACGAGGAACAAUUGGAGGGCAAGUCUGGUGCCAGCAGCCGCGGUAAUUCCAGCUCCAAUAGCGUAUAUUAAAGUUGUUGCAGUUAAAAAGCUCGUAGUUGAACCUUUGGCCUGGCUGGCAGGUCCGCCUCACCGCGUGCACUUGUCCGGCCGGGCCUUCUCUUCUGGAGAACCGCAUGCCCUUCACUGGGUGUGCUGGGGACCAGGACUUUUACUUUGAAAAAAUUAGAGUGUUCAAAGCAGGCCUUUGCUCGAAUACGUUAGCAUGGAAUAAUAGAAUAGGACGUGCGGUCCUAUUUUGUUGGUUUCUAGGACCGCCGUAAUGAUUAAUAGGGACAGUCGGGGGCAUCAGUAUUCAAUUGUCAGAGGUGAAAUUCUUGGAUUUAUUGAAGACUAACUACUGCGAAAGCAUUUGCCAAGGAUGUUUUCAUUAAUCAGUGAACGAAAGUUAGGGGAUCGAAGACGAUCAGAUACCGUCGUAGUCUUAACCAUAAACUAUGCCGACUAGGGAUCGGGCGGUGUUUUUAUUUUGACCC
RNAcentral lists this ribosomal RNA (969 nucleotides) under Longipedicellata aquatica. Its description in RNAcentral is "SSU rRNA". It matches the Rfam family "Eukaryotic small subunit ribosomal RNA", at positions 99 to 1077 of the family's 1831-position model. The record is from RNAcentral. Lineage: Eukaryota; Fungi; Ascomycota; Dothideomycetes; Pleosporales; Bambusicolaceae.